CCGUGAGUCAGCAACCAAAAUAAAACUCGUCAUCGAGAGCCAGUCUGGGAAGUGAAUGGCGAUAUGCCGGUUGCCGGCCUACCCAAAACAAUAUCCUGCUGUGUUCUGUUUAUUAUAUGAUUAAUGUGCAUCUGCGGCAGAUGUAGAUGUACUUCGCUUCAAUUUAAAAAGAGAGUGGGUCAAGUGCAGUCAAAAGUGAAAUUAACGUUUGGCUGCCCUUGGUGCAUCGAGAGUACAUGCGAAAAGUAUAACGUGUGGGCAUACCCAACUUAAUCGUUCUUUACUGCUUCAGCAUAUGAUUGUCAUGCCGUUCAGCUGCAGGUUGGUUUGACUAAAUAAAUGUUUGCCCCUAGACGAUUCAUAAUUGAUUUCUGUUUUAUAAUCUAACAGCAGGUGCGCAAAAUUGGAGCAGCAAUACCCACGUUAUUCAGUGGCUUAGUUGUCUGGGUAUCUACGACUGGGCGUAAAAAUUGCGUGUUUGCGUCUCACUGCAAACUGGCUGUUGCCAUCGAUUCCCCCACACAAACAGAAUUAAAGAAAAAAUACAAAAUUCAUUAAAAAUUCAACAUUGCUGACUAAUUGUUAAUUUGGCUGUCAUGUCAAAUAAAUCAUAGGACACGACAAAAAUUAAACGAAAACGCGACACGAAAAAGUGUUGAACCUCCUUGUGGACCCAAAAAGAGAUGCCAUAUCCUAGAGACCAACACAGAUCCCACAAUAUCCACACAUAAGUAUGUAU
RNAcentral lists this long non-coding RNA (739 nucleotides) under Drosophila guanche. The record is from RNAcentral. Lineage: Eukaryota; Metazoa; Arthropoda; Insecta; Diptera; Drosophilidae.